This is a small nucleolar RNA of Paracoccidioides sp., 137 nucleotides long. It matches the Rfam family "A. fimigatus snoRNA Afu_298". The record is from Rfam. NCBI's taxonomy places the organism in Eukaryota, Fungi, Ascomycota, Eurotiomycetes, Onygenales, Ajellomycetaceae.
GCGAAUGAUUAAAUCUUUUUAACCCUGAGCUUUUGCUAACUGGGGGAGAGGGAACGUUCCUCCCGAGCCUCCUUCUCUCCCAUUUGGUUUCCGUGAAGAUCACAAAACAGCAACAACACUCUAAUUUUUUAAUGACG